ACUUCUCAACUCCUCACGGUUCGCCCGUGAUGAGCUUGGACUUUGGGGGUCUUGCCGGCCUGCAGGUUGGCUCCUCUCAAAUGAAUUAGCUUGCCGGUGUUUGGCGGCGUCACAGGUGUGAUAACUAUCUACGCUUGUGGUUGUCCGCCAGGUAACCUCUGGCAAUGGAGGUUCACUGGAGCUCACAAAUGUCUCUCCUCGGUGAGGACAGCUCUUUGAAU
This 221-nucleotide unclassified non-coding RNA is filed under the name uncultured Tomentella. Its description in RNAcentral is "sequence contains ITS2". The record is from RNAcentral. Lineage: Eukaryota; Fungi; Basidiomycota; Agaricomycetes; Thelephorales; Thelephoraceae.